ACGAACGCUGGCGGCGUGCUUCACCCAUGCCAGUCGAACGGAAAGGCCCUGCUUUUGUGGGGUGCUCGAGUGGCGAACGGGUGAGUAACACGUGAGUAACCUGCCCUUGACUUUGGGAUAACUUCAGGAAACUGGGGCUAAUACCGGAUAGGAGCUCCUGCUGCAUGGUGGGGGUUGGAAAGUUUCGGCGGUUGGGGAUGGACUCGCGGCUUAUCAGCUUGUUGGUGGGGUAGUGGCUUACCAAGGCUUUGACGGGUAGCCGGCCUGAGAGGGUGACCGGCCACAUUGGGACUGAGAUACGGCCCAGACUCCUACGGGAGGCAGCAGUGGGGAAUAUUGCACAAUGGGCGGAAGCCUGAUGCAGCAACGCCGCGUGCGGGAUGACGGCCUUCGGGUGGUAAACCGCUUUCGCCUGUGACGAAGCGUGAGUGACGGUAAUGGGUAAAGAAGCACCGGCUAACUACGUG
This 467-nucleotide ribosomal RNA is filed under the name uncultured bacterium. Its description in RNAcentral is "partial 16S ribosomal RNA". It matches the Rfam family "Bacterial small subunit ribosomal RNA", at positions 29 to 507 of the family's 1533-position model. The record is from RNAcentral.